ACUCAAAUGAAUUGACGGGGACCCGCACAAGCAGCGGAGCAUGUGGUUUAAUUCGAAGCAACGCGAAGAACCUUACCAGGUCUUGACAUCCCGUUGUAAAGCACUUAAUCGUGCUCCUCCCUUCGGGGACAAUGGAGACAGGUGGUGCAUGGUUGUCGUCAGCUCGUGUCGUGAGAUGUUGGGUUAAGUCCCGCAACGAGCGCAACCCUUGUCAUUAGUUGCCAUCAGGUUAUGCUGGGCACUCUAGUGAGACUGCCGUGGACAACACGGAGGAAGGUGGGGAUGACGUCAAAUCAUCAUGCCCCUUAUGAUCUGGGCUACACACGUGCUACAAUGGCCGGUACAGAGGGAAGCCAAACCGCGAGGUGGAGCAAAUCUCCAAAGCCGGUCCCAGUUCGGAUUGCAGGCUGCAACUCGCCUGCAUGAAGUCGGAGUUGCUAGUAAUCGCGAAUCAGAAUGUCGCGGUGAAUGCGUUCCCGGGUCUUGUACACACCGCCCGU
Molecule: ribosomal RNA, 500 nt
Filed under: uncultured bacterium
Lineage: Bacteria
Description: partial 16S ribosomal RNA
Rfam family: Bacterial small subunit ribosomal RNA
Source: RNAcentral